AGCCAGGAGGUGGGACUUUUAAGAGAGCUUCAGCUGCAGUAGUAUAGAGAGGAUCAGGUGGUGGGCGGAGCCCUAGAGCUCCCAAGAGAUUUUGUCCUUUGUCUUCAGCUACCAGAGCAGGUAAAGAAAGACCAUCAGGUAGAGGCAGGGUUAGGCAUUUUUGAGCUCAAAGUCUCCUUGGCUGGGGCUUGCUGUGGCUGCUGUAGGGGUUAGGGGUGUGGUUACCAAGCCAAUGGAGUUAUGUUCCCAGGGGAUUAUGGCUGCUUUCGCUGUGUCAUGCAGGUUACCAGGGAUGUGGGGGAAAGCCAGCAGUUACAGGCCUCACCUAGCUCCCCCGCAGCCCAAAAGUCUGGUCUCACUUCCACGGUGUCGCCACCAACAGCAUUGAGUUAAUUUCCAGGCAGUGGGUGAGAAGGGCUGAGAACUUGCCCCAGGCUACCAGCCUUGGGGAGGGGAGGCGGGGGGAGAAAGUAAGCAGGGCUUUCAGGUUUUGCACCUCCCUGCCUGCUGCAGCUUCUGUGCUAUGUCUGCACUUCCAAUUCACCUCCUGCCUCAGGUUCUGUCCAGAAAACUUAGCGCUUGGUUGAAAUUGUUACAGAGAUCAUCUGGAAGUUUCCUUCUCCCUGUGAUCUUUUCCUAGUUCCUCUGCAGCCCUCCUCAAGAACCCCUGUAAGACAAAGUCAGAAAUGGUUUUCCAGGGGACAAAGAGUGCCCACAGGGCUCUUCCCACUGUUUCUUUUACCGUUGUGUUUUGCUCGGCUCUCUAAAUUUGUCUCAGCUCCAGGGGCCUGCAACAGCAAUCUGCCUCCUUCAAAGGGUCUGUGGAUCCUCUUGGCUUUCCCGGUAUGUUCCUGUGGUAGUUCUUGGAGCAAAAGUUCACGAUGUGAGUCUCCACACACUGCUCUGUCCACUGGAGUGGGAGCUGCAAGUUAGUCCUGCCUCCAAUCUGCCAUUUUCCCCCACCUGAUCCAUCAUUCUAUUCUCUUUGUCUGAUGGCGGCUCCCCCUUUGCUUUCUACCAUGAUUGGAAGCUUCCUGAGGCCUCCCCAGAAGCAGAAGCCACUAUACUUCCUGUACAGCCUGAAGAACCGUGAGUCAAUUCAAUCUUUUUUCUUUAUAAAUUACCUAAUAGCAGGUAUUUCUUUAUAACAAUGCAAGAAUGGGUGAAUACAUGAUUCUUUCCAGGAAUUUAUCCUGGACCCUCCUUGCCUCUGUCUCUGAUGAUGCCCUGCCCCAUUCUCAGGCUUGUCUUUACUUCUCCUCCUGGCUUUUGAACUUGAAGUGGUUUCAUUUCCCUUUUUAAUCCCACAAGGUAUCCCUUGUGAUUAAUUUUCAGCUCUGGGAGGAUGCUCCCCUCUGGUUUUACCUCUCAAAACUCAUGCCUGGUGCCAGGUUUUAAUUAGCCCCUUGUCAGCCCCUCCCUCCCUUCAGGAAUGAAAAAGACUGAGGUCAAUGUAUUAUAAUUACAAUUGUGUUGAAGAUAUUUCCAACACACUGGAUGCUGAUAGGUGAAGAGAUAAUGAGUGGUAAAAUAUCAAGACUAAUAUUCUUAUCACUACUGUCUAGAAAUACAUACUGACAAUGGGAUCAAAGAAAACCAGAGCAGCCUAGGGAACCCUAUUCUAUCCCAUUUGUAAAUUUUGAUUUAUAACUGAACCUGACUGAUCUUUGUUAUCAAUGAAUAAUAAGUUAUUGCUGAGGAUGUGGACAAAUAAAUGGGAAUGAAUCUGCCACAAAAGCUUCAAACCAAACAUAUGACUUUUUAUUCUCUUGUUUUUUCACUAGUUCUAGACUCAGGCAUUUCAUGAAACUCUGUGCAAAUUUUCAAGGGUAGAACUCAAUAUGUUGUGCCUGAUCUGAAAACUCUAAAUUCUGAAA
Molecule: long non-coding RNA, 1877 nt
Filed under: Homo sapiens (human)
Lineage: Eukaryota; Metazoa; Chordata; Mammalia; Primates; Hominidae
Description: HSALNT0153381
Source: RNAcentral